Non-coding RNA from Acanthosepion pharaonis, 109 nucleotides. The record is from the annotation of a GenBank genome assembly. NCBI's taxonomy places the organism in Eukaryota, Metazoa, Mollusca, Cephalopoda, Sepiida, Sepiidae.
UUAUGGCCAUAUCACGUUGAAACAUUUGUUCCCUGUAGGAUCAAUGAAGUUAAGCAAUCUCAAGCCUGGUCAGUACCAAGAUGGGUGACUGCUUGGGAAUACCAGGUUG